GAGUGUGUGGUCUCAGGAAUUUUUAGCCUCUAGAACUUGUUUAAAUAAAUUGAGGAUCAAGCAUCAGUCAUCCUCAGCCUGCUAGAAAAAUGAAUCACAUCCUUUUUGUUCCUUUCAGCCAGAACCUUUUCUUUAAUCACUUUUUCAAGCUCUUUUCUUGUUUUAAAGAUGAUUUCCUGUGUUAGGACAUGGAAAAACUGUUUCACCCAGGAAGGUGAGCAAAUUAACGUGGUACUGGAAAAGACAAAUUGCAGAGUGUUUUGACCAGAUAAUGGGGAGAAUUGCAACAGAUAGAGAAAAUCAGACCAAAAGUUCUUUUUUUUUUUUCUUUUUGAAAUACCAAGGCAAUCUUGACAAUUAAGUAGUGGUUUUGUUUGCUUGUUUGUUUACACAUUGCUUCUUUAAAAAAAAAAAAAAUUAAAAAAAGGUAUAAAUGUUUCAUUCUUUUGAAAUAAACACUUCCCCAGAAGUAAAAGAGUUAGGGGCUGUGUUUUGUAUAACUUAAUAGGUUAAAAGCUCCAGAAGAUAGUAGUUCACCGGAGGUGAGACAUUAUGGUACAAAAUGCCAUAAAAGAUAAUAGGUUUAUAUGAAUUGGCAUGUGUUAGUGAUUAUGCAAUCACUCAUUUCCCACAGAUUUCUUUUUAUAGGAAACUUUGGAAAAUCCCAAAAGAACUGACCGAGUCAUUUAAACCACAACAGGUUUCUUUCAACAUCAAAACCAUGGCUAGGAGUGGGCGAGAAAUAUUUUUAUAUUCUUUUUUUUUUUUUUCCCUGGGCAUGGAUGGUCUGUUUCUGACUGUGGCUUGUUCCCUUGUGGAAGCUCCCGAAUAGCAGAGGAAUAAGAAUCUGACUUCCUCCAAAAACCAAGGCAUCCUGCAAACAUCCAGGCAGAGGAAGCAUUUUUUUUACUAUGACAUGGGAACGGGCCACUGAGAUCCAAAUGCAAACGGACGUUUCAUAUUUUUUCCAACUGAUUUCCUGUCCAAUGUUUCACUUUUAACCUACAAUUUUCAAUUUUAUCACUGAGAGAACUGGGAAAUUCAAAGAAACCGGUGAAGAUGCCAGAAGAAUUGAAUAUGAAGAGAUGUCUGGAUACAGAUUUCAUAAUUCUCCAAGCAGUGUUUAUUUUUAUGAAUGUUUAUUCCA
This is a long non-coding RNA of Antechinus flavipes (yellow-footed antechinus), 1147 nucleotides long. RefSeq lists it as uncharacterized. The transcript is spliced from 2 exons. The record is from RefSeq and is a predicted model, not a curated record. Lineage: Eukaryota; Metazoa; Chordata; Mammalia; Dasyuromorphia; Dasyuridae.